Molecule: unclassified non-coding RNA, 227 nt
Filed under: Hevea brasiliensis (rubber tree)
Lineage: Eukaryota; Viridiplantae; Streptophyta; Magnoliopsida; Malpighiales; Euphorbiaceae
Source: RNAcentral
GGAAUCUUCAUGCCCGUGUUGUGGUCACUUGCAAUGAGAUGAGCAGAAAUUAAACCUCCAAGGAUACGAAUUGUAGUCUCAAAGAUAGAUACUGUUUUGUUAAUAUCAAACCGAAGAUUUUUACCAAUCCAUUCAACAGAAGCAGUGAAGCGCUCUCUGUCACCAAGCAAAGCCAAGGUGUCCAAUGAGUCAAUCAAUGUUAGGGCAUAGCCACCAAGUGUGUCUUC